GAUGAACGCUGACAGAAUGCUUAACACAUGCAAGUCAACUUGAACUUCGGUUUGGGUGGCGGACGGGUGAGUAACGCGUAAAGAACUUGCCUCACAGAUAGGGACAACAUUUGGAAACGAAUGCUAAUACCUGAUAUUAUGAUUAUAUGGCAUCGUAUAAUUAUGAAAGCUAUAUGCGCUGUGAGAGAGCUUUGCGUCCCAUUAGCUAGUUGGAGAGGUAACGGCUCACCAAGGCGAUGAUGGGUAGCCGGCCUGAGAGGGUGAUCGGCCACAAGGGGACUGAGACACGGCCCUUACUCCUACGGGAGGCAGCAGUGGGGAAUAUUGGACAAUGGACCAAGAGUCUGAUCCAGCAAUUCUGUGUGCACGAUGAAGUUUUUCGGAAGGUAAAGUGCUUUCAGUUGGGAAGAAAAAAUGACGGUACCAACAGAAGAAGUGACGGCUAAAUACGUG
Molecule: ribosomal RNA, 453 nt
Filed under: uncultured bacterium
Lineage: Bacteria
Description: partial 16S ribosomal RNA
Rfam family: Bacterial small subunit ribosomal RNA
Source: RNAcentral